AUAGCGCACAAGUAGAGUGAUCGAAAGAUGAAAAGCACUUUGAAAAGAGAGUUAAAAAGCACGUGAAAUUGUUGAAAGGGAAGCGCUUGCGACCAGACUCGCUCGCGGGGUUCAGCCGGCAUUCGUGCCGGUGUACUUCCCCGCGGGCGGGCCAGCGUCGGUUUGGGCGGUCGGUCAAAGGCCCUCGGAAGGUAACGCCCCUAGGGGCGUCUUAUAGCCGAGGGUGCAAUGCGACCUGCCUAGACCGAGGAACGCGCUUCGGCUCGAACGCUGGCAUAAUGUUCGUAAACGACCCGUCUUGAAACACGGACCAAGGAGUUCUAACAUUUAUACGCGAGUGUUCGGGUGUCAAACCCGUGCGCGAAGUGAAAGCGAACGGAGGUGGGAACCCUCACGGGUGCACCAUCGACCGAUCCUGAAGUCUUCGGAUGGAUUUGAGUAAGAGCGUAGCUGUUGGGGACCCGAAAGAUGGUGAACUAUGCCUGAAUAGGGCGAAGCCAGAGGAAACUCUGGUGGAGGCUCGUAGCGGUUCUGACGUGCAAAUCGAUCGUCGAAUUUGGGUAUAGGGCGAAA
RNAcentral lists this ribosomal RNA (573 nucleotides) under Penicillium sp. 2.8. Its description in RNAcentral is "eukaryotic LSU rRNA". It matches the Rfam family "Eukaryotic large subunit ribosomal RNA", at positions 337 to 928 of the family's 3401-position model. Lineage: Eukaryota; Fungi; Ascomycota; Eurotiomycetes; Eurotiales; Aspergillaceae. The record is from RNAcentral.